AAGCAUUUUAGGGUAAAAAAAGCUCUCCCACCCAGUCAGUGGGAACCGCAAGAGGUAGUUAGGAGGUUUAUUUUUUACACCACUAACAUCCACUAAGUGUCACAUUAGCUGUAGGUCAGUCUGUAUAUGGCCCAUCUUUAGCCUCCCCAAACAAAAAAGUCACCCUCCGACUAUGUAUGUAUGUAUGUAUGUAAUCUGUAUUUUCAAUAUAUACUCCAAUUUAUUUGACAGUGCUCUGGAAAAUGUUGGUGCUUUAUAAAUGUGUAAACCGGAGAAUUUUAUAGGACAUAUUAAGAGCUAAUUGCGUUAUCCCAAAUGCUGACUUGUCUGUUUUAUUCUCUUUUCUACACAGAUUGCUAUUGUGCCUUCUGGCGUUCAUUGGCUUGUGCUUCGGUGCGAUUUUCAGUGCGAAUUUUUUGGAUAUUGAGAUUUUUCUGGCAUCCCCCUAGUUUGAUAUAAUCUAUUCUUAUCUGAGCUAGUGGGUAUAGCCAGCUUUCAUAGAGGGAGACCCCUUGGGGUACCCCAGCCUUGUGCCAGCCCCUCUCAUUGAAGCCAGUAACAUCGUAGGCUUCAGGAUCUGAAGAUGGCGACUCGUCAGGACUUUUUAAGACAUAAUCUUGCAAAUCCAAUUGGUACAUUUAUUAUUUAAUCUGCCUUAAGUACCCUGGGGGGGGUGGUCGGUUUCUUAGGUCCAGUUUGUUAGAGCCCAACAGGUCUUUCUGCAUAUACAUAUAGGGGCAUAUUUAUGAUAUUGUGGCAGCCAAUAUCAUAUAUAUACCCAUUUGUCUCUCGUGUUUGCUUUAAGGUAGCGAGACCAUCAGGAGUAAGCGAGGGAUGCAGGUAAAAUGUCUGUUUUUUCAUUCCGUGUCUCUCGUGUUUGCUUUUAGGUUGCGGGAGUAUCAGGAGUAAGCGAGGGAUGCAGGAGCUGUUUUGUGCCCUAGACUCUUUAGGGCCCGACAACAACUGCGAGGCCCUCGUUUCUGAUUAUAUAGAUUAAACAGCGCACAGACAUCCACUCACUGCAAUGCAUUAUGGGACCUUCUGAGUUUGGCGUCACACUGUAUCGAAUAAGUGCACCUAUAGUAGAAAUACAAUGCAAUAGUAGAUAUAACUUUUAUUAAUGCUUAGUGGAAUUCUUUUUUUCAGGGAACAUUUUCUCUUUUGGUAUGCCUUCGACCACCACGAGGAGGAGAAUAUCCCCAACUAUUACAUCCUGAUUAAACAUCUGGUAAGAAAUCCAAAAUACAUGUUUAUCUAAAUAAGGAAUAAAUGAUAUGAGAUUGUCAGCUCUUGGCCCAGUAUAUUUUAUGUUUGGAUCUUUGUCCCAAAUGAUGAAAUGGCACAAGGCUCAGGCAAUAACACUGGAUGAGCAGACCCAGAGCUGCACUAAACCCAACUAGACCUGUUGCUUAGUAACUAUUCCCUUUAUCUCAUUUAAAUGAUAGUGGGGUUAAACAGAGCCACGUGUCAGUGUGCAUAAAGCUAAUAUGUGAGGCCAUCACAGAUAUAAUGACGAGGCAUAAAAACUUAUUGGAUCUUAAAGAGCUAACUGUGGGUUCAUAGGUCUAAUUAUAAGAGGAAUAGCAUUGACCCCUUGAUUCCUUUCUCACACUGAUACUUUCUUUUAUGUUACAGGAACAACUGGAAGUACUGGAGGGGAUAUAUUUUAGAAUGGACCCCUCUUGCGUUUCAGGCACCUACGCCUGAAGGACAUCGCCUGCGCAGUCACUAUGUGGCAUUUGUUUCUCUCUAUAAAGGAAGUUUCCUGGAUCCCAACAUCAGUCAGUAGGUUAUUACACAAGCUCAUGUAAAGGAACUAUUAUAAUCAUAACUGUCUUCUUUCUUUCCCCUUUGCUCCUAUCCUUGUUCUCUUCCCUGCACUCUCAGGCAGUAACAUCUACCUUGCGUGGCAUAAGGCGCAGAGUUGAAGAAAAGGAAGAGGAGCUGCGGCAACCUUCUGGAAGAACCAGCGUGGAAGCAGCAGAGGACACUCCAGCUGCAGUGAUGGAAGGACCACCACAGGGCGGUUCCAGAGACUCUGGCGCUCCACCAUAAGAUGUUUCGGGGGGGAUGCUGUCUCCAACCUCCCCCUGAUAAUUAAUAUCCUUUUUUCGUUAUGUUGAGGGGUGGGC
Molecule: long non-coding RNA, 2132 nt
Organism: Xenopus tropicalis (tropical clawed frog)
Lineage: Eukaryota; Metazoa; Chordata; Amphibia; Anura; Pipidae
Exons: 5
Source: RefSeq, a predicted model, not a curated record